CAUAGACUGAUUUCAGCUUUUCGUAUAUCCCCGAUAAUACGGUUCGGGAGUCUCUACCAGGUAACCGCAAAUUACCCGGCUACGAAAAGGGCGUUGGAUGUG
RNAcentral lists this non-coding RNA (102 nucleotides) under Clostridiales bacterium PH28_bin88. RNAcentral's name for it is "Purine riboswitch aptamer". It matches the Rfam family "Purine riboswitch aptamer". From Rfam's summary of the family: Riboswitches are metabolite binding domains within certain messenger RNAs that serve as precision sensors for their corresponding targets. Allosteric rearrangement of mRNA structure is mediated by ligand binding, and this results in modulation of gene expression. RNAcentral also lists the same sequence under 1 other name. The record is from Rfam by way of RNAcentral. Lineage: Bacteria; Bacillati; Bacillota; Clostridia; Eubacteriales.